CAGUAGCGUAUAUUAAAGUUGUUGCAGUUAAAAAGCUCGUAGUUGGAUUUGUGGCGUACGGUGUGUUCCGGGCACUUGUUGUCUGAGUAACCUGCUGUUGCCAUCCUUGGGUGGAACCUGUGUGGCAUUAGGUUGUCGUGCAGGGGAUGCCCAUCAUUUACUGUGAAAAAAUUAGAGUGUUCAAAGCAGGCUUAUGCCGUUGAAUAUAUUAGCAUGGAAUAAUGAGAUAGGACUUUUUUGCUAUUUUGUUGGUUUGCGCAAGAAGGUAAUGAUUAAUAGGGACAGUUGGGGGUAUUCGUAUUCCAUUGUCAGAGGUGAAAUUCUUGGACUUUUGGAAGACGAACUACUGCGAAAGCAUUUACCAAGGAUGUUUUCAUUAA
RNAcentral lists this ribosomal RNA (380 nucleotides) under uncultured eukaryote. RNAcentral describes it as "partial 18S ribosomal RNA". It matches the Rfam family "Eukaryotic small subunit ribosomal RNA", at positions 592 to 976 of the family's 1831-position model. The record is from RNAcentral.